UACGUAGGGGGCAAGCGUUGUCCGGAUUUAUUGGGCGUAAAGAGCUCGUAGGCGGUUCCGUAAGUCGUGAAGUCAAAUCUCUGGGCUCAACCCAGAAUCGCUUCGGAUACUGCGGUGACUGGAGUCCGGUAGGGGAGUGUGGAAUUCCUGGUGUAGCGGUGAAAUGCGCAGAUAUCAGGAGGAACACCAACAGCGAAGGCAGCACUCUGGGCCGGUACUGACGCUGAGGAGCGAAAGCAUGGGGAGCGAACAGG
RNAcentral lists this ribosomal RNA (254 nucleotides) under uncultured bacterium. Its description in RNAcentral is "partial 16S ribosomal RNA". It matches the Rfam family "Bacterial small subunit ribosomal RNA", at positions 524 to 776 of the family's 1533-position model. The record is from RNAcentral.